AAUUUGGGAUACUGCUGGUCAAGAGCGUUUUCGAACAAUUACAACUGGUUUGUCUCAGUGCUUAAUUUUUUUAAAUGGCAUUAAAAAGUAAUCAUGCUUCUGUUUAAAAUUAAAAUGUUGAUUUUUUUUUCUUUUUUCUCUGUUAUAUUUUAUAAAGAAAAGGAGGUAUUGCUGUUUGAUGCUUCAUUUGUUUGUAUCUUAACAUUUUAGACAAUACUAGAGCAGCAUGUUUUCUCGAUUGUCAAUAUUUGUAGAACAGUAGAAGUGUGAGCUUGUUUCCUAUGCUUAGCCUAUAUGAUUGAUAAGCCAAAAUUUUACUUGAUUUGAUAUCUAAGAAAAUGGAACUCUUUUCUUUAACAGUUUCCCUUGCGCCUUUACUUUUUCCUUGAAUUCAUUCUUUUCAUUGGGGCUAUAGAAAUUUAAGGCUUACUUCUUAGCAAGUAUGGAUAUAAAUAUGGGAUGCAAGGAUGAGAAGAUAUGGAUAAUCAUGGCCACUGUCCAGUUCGGAACAGGGACUGGUCCUACCCAUAACCAAAACCCAUCCAACCUGGAUUGACAAAAAAUGACCUUGAACUGGACUGGACCAGUCCAGCUUCUGACCAAAACCCCUUUUUUUAUUAAAAAAAAUAAAAAGAAAAAGAUGCUGCCAUUCAAAAUUUGAUUGACUGAACGUCACUAGGAUAUUUCACAUUACUCAAUUUAGAGCAAAUGCACACAUUUAUUCCCAUCAACAAAGUACAAUCUAUUCGGUGAGAGGACUAAAAGCACCCCUUCUCAUAUUGGACAUUUCUACUGUUCCUCAUAAAGUCAAUGAGUGAACGAUUAGAGGCAGUAUUCUGAUACAUUCCCCACCAUUUCAUAAAACUGCUUUCUCUCAAGAAAAUCUCAGGUGAUACUGCAUAAUUCUUGAUUUGCUCCAUUACAUACUUCUCAAAGUCAAUUAGGCAUUCCCUUGAUGAUUGUUUCUCCAAGGCACUGGAUGUAGGAGCCAUCAACAAUUCACAUGAAAUGAUAGCUUCCUCCACCUUUGCCCAAAAGCAAGAAUCCUCUGUCAAAGCACCAGCCACUUCUUUCUUCUUCUUGUUACUCGGGGGGCCAGUAGGUCUAUCUGCAUCCUCUUUUUGCCACUUCUCCAACAGACGGUAAUGUUCAGACCUUAAAGCCUCAUAGUUUCUGUUGCCAUGUGUUCUGUAGUACUCUGCUAUCUCAAGAGGCUCAACCAUUCUUCUAUAAUUUGUUCCGGCAAAAAGCCACGUCAAUUGAAUGAAUUUCCCUUCCUUUUGGGGCUUUUUCUCAGCUUCUUCAACCAAGUCUUUCCAGUAGUUCGUGAGAAAUUUCUUAUACUUGGUAACAUCUCUAUCACUUUCAGAAAGAUGGUUCUUGUAACUAUCAUAGUAUCCUAUUUCCUUGGCCUUGCACCUCUUCUUGUACCAUUCGAGGUAGGCCAUUUUUAUCUUUAUUUCAUUUAAUUUUCGGCUUGGAUUCAAGGCUUUCCUUUUAUUGAACAUACGGAUUUGCUCCCUUUCUUUCAAUUUGGAGACCAGGUUGGUGAAGUCCUUGUUAUGCUGUGGUUGCUGCUAAGAAGAUCAGAGUUAAUUUGGAUUGGUUUUUUCAGAAAAUCUAAAAGCAAAUAGCAGAAAGAGGUGUAAACAAAAAUUGCCAACAUUUUUUCUUGUAAGGAUUUUGCCAUGAGCAGAAAAUCAAAAAGUGCACUGCACUGCCACAUGCAUACUUCAGGUAAGUUAAUUGCGUGUGAAAGUUAAUCCUUCAUUUCUUUCUGUGCACAAAAUGAGUAAAAGCAUAACUUAUCAGGGCUGGCAAGGUUGCUAUAGUUUUAUAGUUUAUAUCAGAUAUACUUGUUAUAGUGAAACUCAUCUGUAUAAGCUAAUCUCAUCUGUAUAGUUCAUCUAAUAACUAUCUAAAUUAACAGCCUAACAACCUGAUGUACUCAAGUCUGUUAAGGACUCAUGUAUCUGUAUAUAUUUGACAAAUCAGUAAUACAAAGAAUCAGCUUCGGUUCAAGUUGCUAUAUGGUAUCAGAGCCAUAUUGUCAACGACACAAAGUUUAGUUACCACAAACUCCACAUAUUUGUUUUCUUCUCCCUUCCCAAAGGUGAGUCAAUAUGUGUCUGUGAAACUCACAUCGUCAAAUUAUAUGCUGUGGAAAGCCCAGCUGUUACCACUGCUCAAUUGAUACAAUUUAUCCAGCCAUGUUUCUGAAUCUUCCACUCCUCCCUCACCAUUGUUGAAUGAUAACACACUCAAUCCUGAAUAUCAAGUUUGGUAUUGACAAGAUCAGUUGGUUUUGAGUUGGCUGUUUUCAACUAUUUCUGAAAAUCCUCUUCCUCAGAUAAUUGGAUCUGUGACAGCCAAGGAAGCUUAGAAUAAGCUUGCAACAAUCUUCCUAAUGGGUUCUCAUACCCGGAUGUUUCAGCUCUGUAAACAGCUGAAGCCCACUAUUGAUGUGUAUAUGUCGCGGGCAAAACAAAUCUUUGACCAACUCGCUGCCCUCCAAGCACCAAUCACCGAAGAAACUCUUGUGAAUGAUGUGCUAGAGGGGCUGGGCAGUGAGUAUUGUCCGUUUAUUUGGGCAAUAGAGGCUCGAAAUGCUCCAACACAGUUUGAUGACUUGUAUGCCAUGCUGCUUAGCGAGGAAACACAAUUAAAAAUGGAGACACUUUCUGUUACAUCCUCAAUUACACCAUCGGCUCAUGUUGCCACUAAGCCACAAAAUACAAGCAGUCGUGUUCCUAGUCGUGGACGGGGCAGAGGUUCCUCUCGAGGAGGACAUAACUACUCACAACCCUCCACUCUUUCCACAACAAUUAUUUCACAACUGCAGGGGCCAAGGACACAUCGCCAAACAAUGCCCUUCACCAAAAUUGAAUACCACCUCUCCACGCCAGCCAGCAACUUACCUUGCCUCAACUGAUCAUUCUAGAAUGAACAAAUGGACUAUUGAUUCAAGUGCUAACUUCCAUCUCACAGCUGAUAACAGCAACAUCUUCGAGUCUCUUCCUUAUCAUGGCAAUGGCCAAGUGACUGUUGGUAAUGAUGGUACUUCGCCAAUCACUCACUUUGGUAAAUCUCAUUUUUCAGUUAAUAAUUGCUCUUUUGUGCUUGACAAUAUCCUUUGCUCACCUAAUAUUUCAUUGAAAUCUGCUAUCUGUUAAUGCCUUUACCACUCAAAAUAAUGUAUCUAUUGAGUUUUUCCCUGAUGUUUUUGUUAUUAAGGAUAUCCCCACAAAGCAAGCAUUGCACCAAGGCCGAAGUGAUGGAGGGCUAUAUAAUCUGCUGCUUCGACUGUCCCAAUUGUCUCCUCAAGCGAAUUCACUGGAACUUCAAACCUAGCAUGCUCGCCUUGGACAUGCUAAUUGCACAGUUCACUCCCUUUUGUCUCAUCAGAAUGUUUCUUUUAUUAGCAAUAAAGAUUCUAUUACUCCUUCUCAUGCAUGUAAUGUUAGUAAAAUGCAUAAGUUACUAUUUGCUGAUUCUUAUUCUUUUGUUAAUAAACCCUUUGAGUUAAUUUGCUUUGAUGUCUAGGGUAACUACUGACAAAUUGGUAUC
This 3567-nucleotide unclassified non-coding RNA is filed under the name Hevea brasiliensis (rubber tree). Lineage: Eukaryota; Viridiplantae; Streptophyta; Magnoliopsida; Malpighiales; Euphorbiaceae. The record is from RNAcentral.